GUGCUUGCAUUGUCAACACAUAUUCUAAAAUUGGAACAAUGCAGAGAAGAUCAGCAUGCCCAUGUUUAAGAAUGACAUGCAAAUUUGUGAAUGCUCCAUAUAUUUUU
RNAcentral lists this small nuclear RNA (107 nucleotides) under Callithrix jacchus (white-tufted-ear marmoset). Lineage: Eukaryota; Metazoa; Chordata; Mammalia; Primates; Cebidae. The record is from RNAcentral.